CGGAGCGUAGCGCAGCCCGGUAGCGCACUUGACUGGGGGUCAAGGGGUCGUGGGUUCGUUAUACGGGAUCGU
Molecule: transfer RNA, 72 nt
Filed under: Ensifer meliloti
Lineage: Bacteria; Pseudomonadati; Pseudomonadota; Alphaproteobacteria; Hyphomicrobiales; Rhizobiaceae
Description: Sinorhizobium meliloti tRNA-Pro
Source: RNAcentral